GAUGAACGCUGGCGGCGUGCCUAAUACAUGCAAGUCGAGCGAACGGACGAGAAGCUUGCUUCUCUGAUGUUAGCGGCGGACGGGUGAGUAACACGUGGAUAACCUACCUAUAAGACUGGGAUAACUUCGGGAAACCGGAGCUAAUACCGGAUAAUAUUUUGAACCGCAUGGUUCAAAAGUGAAAGACGGUCUUGCUGUCACUUAUAGAUGGAUCCGCGCUGCAUUAGCUAGUUGGUAAGGUAACGGCUUACCAAGGCAACGAUGCAUAGCCGACCUGAGAGGGUGAUCGGCCACACUGGAACUGAGACACGGUCCAGACUCCUACGGGAGGCAGCAGUAGGGAAUCUUCCGCAAUGGGCGAAAGCCUGACGGAGCAACGCCGCGUGAGUGAUGAAGGUCUUCGGAUCGUAAAACUCUGUUAUUAGGGAAGAACAUAUGUGUAAGUAACUGUGCACAUCUUGACGGUACCUAAUCAGAAAGCCACGGCUAACUACGUGCCAGCAGCCGCGGUAAUACGUAGGUGGCAAGCGUUAUCCGGAAUUAUUGGGCGUAAAGCGCGCGUAGGCGGUUUUUUAAGUCUGAUGUGAAAGCCCACGGCUCAACCGUGGAGGGUCAUUGGAAACUGGAAAACUUGAGUGCAGAAGAGGAAAGUGGAAUUCCAUGUGUAGCGGUGAAAUGCGCAGAGAUAUGGAGGAACACCAGUGGCGAAGGCGACUUUCUGGUCUGUAACUGACGCUGAUGUGCGAAAGCGUGGGGAUCAAACAGGAUUAGAUACCCUGGUAGUCCACGCCGUAAACGAUGAGUGCUAAGUGUUAGGGGGUUUCCGCCCCUUAGUGCUGCAGCUAACGCAUUAAGCACUCCGCCUGGGGAGUACGACCGCAAGGUUGAAACUCAAAGGAAUUGACGGGGACCCGCACAAGCGGUGGAGCAUGUGGUUUAAUUCGAAGCAACGCGGAGAACCUUACCAAAUCUUGACAUCCUUUGACAACUCUAGAGAUAGAGCUUUCCCCUUCGGGGGACAAAGUGACAGGUGGUGCAUGGUUGUCGUCAGCUCGUGUCGUGAGAUGUUGGGUUAAGUCCCGCAACGAGCGCAACCCUUAAGCUUAGUUGCCAUCAUUAAGUUGGGCACUCUAAGUUGACUGCCGGUGACAAACCGGAGGAAGGUGGGGAUGACGUCAAAUCAUCAUGCCCCUUAUGAUUUGGGCUACACACGUGCUACAAUGGACAAUACAAAGGGCAGCGAAACCGCGAGGUCAAGCAAAUCCCAUAAAGUUGUUCUCAGUUCGGAUUGUAGUCUGCAACUCGACUACAUGAAGCUGGAAUCGCUAGUAAUCGUAGAUCAGCAUGCUACGGUGAAUACGUUCCCGGGUCU
Molecule: ribosomal RNA, 1372 nt
Filed under: uncultured bacterium
Lineage: Bacteria
Description: bacterial SSU rRNA
Rfam family: Bacterial small subunit ribosomal RNA
Source: RNAcentral